RNAcentral lists this ribosomal RNA (433 nucleotides) under uncultured bacterium. RNAcentral's name for it is "partial 16S ribosomal RNA". It matches the Rfam family "Bacterial small subunit ribosomal RNA", at positions 29 to 507 of the family's 1533-position model. The record is from RNAcentral.
AACGAACGCUGGCGGCAUGCCUAACACAUGCAAGUCGAACGAGACCUUCGGGUCUAGUGGCGCACGGGUGGGUAACGCGUGGGAACCUGCCCUUAGGUUCGGAAUAACUCCCCUAGAGGGGUCCUAAUACCGGUUAAUGUCUUCGGACCAAAGAUUUAUCGCCUUUGGAUGGGCCCGCGUUGGAUUAGCUAGUUGGUAGGGUAAAAGCAUACCAAGGCGACGAUGCAUAGCUGGUCUGAGAGGAUGAUAAGCCACACUGGGACUGAGACACGGCCCAGACUCCGACGGGAGGCAGCAGUGGGGAAUACUGGACAAUGGGCGAAAGCCUGAUACAGCAAUGCCGCGUGAGUGAUGAAGGCCUUAGGGUUGUAAAGCUCUUUUACCCGGGAUGAUAAUGACGGUACCGGGAGAAUAAGCACCGGCUAACUCCGUG